ACGGGGUGCAGCAGGCGCGAAACCUUUGCAAUGUGCGCAAGCACGACAAGGUUAAUCCGAGUGUUUCCUGCUAAAGGAAUCUUUUGUUAGUCGUAAAACCACUGAUGAAUAAGGGGUGGGCAAGUUCUGGUGUCAGCCGCCGCGGUAAAACCAGCACCUUAAGUGGUCAGGAGGAUUAUUGGGCCUAAAGCAUCCGUAGCCGGCUCUGCAAGUUUUCGGUUAAAUCCAUUUGCUUAACAAAUGGGCUGCCGAAAAUACUACAUAGCUAGGGAGUGGGAGAGGUAGACGGUAUUCGGUAGGAAGGGGUAAAAUCCUUUGAUCUAUUGAGGACCACCUAUGGCGAAGGCAGUCUACCAGAACACGUUCGACGGUGAGGGAUGAAAGCUGGGGGAGCAAACCGGAUUAGAUGCCCGGGUAGUCCCAGCUGUAAACGAUGCAGACUCGGUGAUGCACUGGCUUGUGGCCAGUGCAGUGCCGCAGGGAAGCCGUUAAGUUUGCCGCCUGGGAAGUACGUACGCAAGUAUGAAACUUAAAGGAAUUGGCGGGGGAGCAC
This 553-nucleotide ribosomal RNA is filed under the name uncultured Nitrososphaerota archaeon. RNAcentral's name for it is "bacterial SSU rRNA". It matches the Rfam family "Archaeal small subunit ribosomal RNA", at positions 325 to 879 of the family's 1478-position model. Lineage: Archaea; Thermoproteati; Nitrososphaerota. The record is from RNAcentral.